UCUAGCGGGGCGGCCGCACCCGAUCCCAUUCCGAACUCGGCCGUGAAACGCCCCAGCGCCCAUGAUACUUCGUCUCAAGACGCGGGAAAGUCGGUCGCCGCCAGGU
RNAcentral lists this ribosomal RNA (106 nucleotides) under Aurantimonas sp. DM33-3. The record is from RNAcentral. Lineage: Bacteria; Pseudomonadati; Pseudomonadota; Alphaproteobacteria; Hyphomicrobiales; Aurantimonadaceae.